CCGGAGGAAGGUGGGGAUGACGUCAAAUCAUCAUGCCCCUUAUGACCUGGGGUACCCACGGGGUACAAUGGGCAGAACAAAGGGCAGCGAAACCGCGAGGUUAAGCCAAUUCCACAAAUCUGUUUUCAGUUCGGAUUGCAGUUUGCAACUUGACUGCGUGAAGCUGGAAUCGGUAGUAAUCGCGGAUCAGCAUGCCGCGGUGAAUACGUUUCCGGGCCUUGUACACACCGCCCGUCACACCACGAGAGUUUGUAACACCCGAAGUCGGUGAGGUAACCUUUUUGGAGCCAGCCGCCGAAGGUGGGACAGAUGAUUGGGGUGAAGUCGUAACAAGGUAGCC
This 340-nucleotide ribosomal RNA is filed under the name Bacillus amyloliquefaciens. RNAcentral's name for it is "bacterial SSU rRNA". It matches the Rfam family "Bacterial small subunit ribosomal RNA", at positions 1163 to 1501 of the family's 1533-position model. Lineage: Bacteria; Bacillati; Bacillota; Bacilli; Caryophanales; Bacillaceae. The record is from RNAcentral.